AGUGAACGCUGGCGGUAGGCCUAACACAUGCAAGUCGAACGGCGGCACAGUAAGAGCUUGCUCUUACGGGUGGCGAGUGGCGGACGGGUGAGGAAUACAUCGGAAUCUACUUUUUCGUGGGGGAUAACGUAGGGAAACUUACGCUAAUACCGCAUACGACCUACGGGUGAAAGCAGGGGAUCUUCGGACCUUGCGCGAUUGAAUGAGCCGAUGUCGGAUUAGCUAGUUGGCGGGGUAAAGGCCCACCAAGGCGACGAUCCGUAGCUGGUCUGAGAGGAUGAUCAGCCACACUGGAACUGAGACACGGUCCAGACUCCGACGGGAGGCAGCAGUGGGGAAUAUUGGACAAUGGGCGCAAGCCUGAUCCAGCCAUACCGCGUGGGUGAAGAAGGCCUUCGGGUUGUAAAGCCCUUUUGUUGGGAAAGAAAAGCAGCAGGUUAAUACCCCGCUGUUCUGACGGUACCCAAAGAAUAAGCACCGGCUAACUUCG
Molecule: ribosomal RNA, 490 nt
Filed under: uncultured bacterium
Lineage: Bacteria
Description: partial 16S ribosomal RNA
Rfam family: Bacterial small subunit ribosomal RNA
Source: RNAcentral